This 774-nucleotide ribosomal RNA is filed under the name Botia dario (Bengal loach). Its description in RNAcentral is "partial large subunit ribosomal RNA". It matches the Rfam family "Bacterial large subunit ribosomal RNA", at positions 593 to 1861 of the family's 2925-position model. The record is from RNAcentral. Lineage: Eukaryota; Metazoa; Chordata; Actinopteri; Cypriniformes; Botiidae.
UAAAACUCGUACCUUUUGCAUCAUGAUUUAGCCAGGUACUAUUUAAGCAAAGAGUCCUUUAGUUUAAACCCCCGAAACCAAGUGAGCUACCCCGAGACAGCCUAUAUGGGCCAACCCGUCUCUGUGGCAAAAGAGUGGGAAGAGCUCCGGGUAGAGGUGACAGAUCUACCGAACUUGGUGAUAGCUGGUUGCCUGAGAAAUGAAUAAAAGUUCAGCCUCGUUUUCCUUUAAUUAAACAUAAAUUAAAUAGAUUAAAUAACUAAAAAAAGAGAAAAAUACGAGAGUUAGUUAAAAGGGGUACAGCCCCUUUAACCAAGGAUACAACCUUGCCCAGGAGGAUAAGGAUCAUAUUUUACAAAACUAGUCGUUUUAGUGGGCCUAAAAGCAGCCAUCUAAGCAGAAAGCGUUAAAGCUCAAACGACCAAACAUUAAUUAUACUGAUAAACAAUCCUAUUCCCCUAAAACUACUAGGCCGUCCCAUGCUAACAUGGGAGAGACCAUGCUAAAAUGAGUAACAAGAAGACACACUCUUCUCCAAGCACAAGUGUAAACCAGAUCGGACAAACCACUGGCAAUUAACGAACCCAAAAAAAGAGGGUAAUGUGAAUAACAAAAAAUACAAGAAAAAUCCACAAAUAAUAAUCGUUAAACCCACACUGGAGUGCUAUCACGGAAAGACUAAAAGAAAAGGAAGGAACUCGGCAAACACAAGCCUCGCCUGUUUACCAAAAACAUCGCCUCCUGCAAAUCCCCAAGUAUAGGAGGUCCAGCCUG